This 542-nucleotide ribosomal RNA is filed under the name uncultured bacterium. Its description in RNAcentral is "bacterial SSU rRNA". It matches the Rfam family "Bacterial small subunit ribosomal RNA", at positions 774 to 1304 of the family's 1533-position model. The record is from RNAcentral.
AGGAAAUAGAUACCCGGGUAGUCCACGCCGUAAACGAUGGGUACUAGGUGUAGGAGGUAUCGACCCCUUCUGUGCCGUAGUUAAACACAAAUAAAGUACCCCGCCUGGGGAGUACGGCCGCAAGGUUGAAACUCAAAGGAAUUGACGGGGGCCCGCACAAGCGGUGGAGCAUGUGGUUUAAUUCGACGCAACGCGAAGAACCUUACCAGGGCUUGACAUCCUCUGACGUCCCAAGAGAUUGGGAGUUCAAGUGCUUGCACUUGACAGAGAGACAGGUGGUGCAUGGUUGUCGUCAGCUCGUGUCGUGAGAUGUUGGGUUAAGUCCCGCAACGAGCGCAACCCUUAUCUUUAGUUGCCAGCAAUUCGGUUGGGCACUCUAGAGAGACUGCCGGUGACAAACCGGAGGAAGGUGGGGAUGACGUCAAAUCAUCAUGCCCCUUAUGUCCUGGGCUACACACGUGCUACAAUGGCCAGUACAAAGGGAAGCGAAGGGGUGACCCGGAGCCAAUCCCAUCAAAGCUGGUCUCAGUUCGGAUUGCAGG